ACGCUCGACACCUACAGGAGGCAGCAGGUGGGGAAUAUUGCACAAUGGGGGAAACCCUGAUGCAGCAACGCCGCGUGAAGGAAGACGGUUUUCGGAUUGUAAACUUCUGUUCUUAGUGAAGAUAGUGACGGUAGCUAAGGAGCAAGCCACGGCUAACUACGUGCCAGCAGCCGUGGUAAUCUGAGCGGGCUGGCAAGGC
Molecule: ribosomal RNA, 199 nt
Filed under: uncultured bacterium
Lineage: Bacteria
Description: partial 16S ribosomal RNA
Rfam family: Bacterial small subunit ribosomal RNA
Source: RNAcentral